Ctenopharyngodon idella (grass carp) is the source of this 3543-nucleotide long non-coding RNA. RefSeq lists it as uncharacterized. Lineage: Eukaryota; Metazoa; Chordata; Actinopteri; Cypriniformes; Xenocyprididae. The transcript is spliced from 5 exons. The record is from RefSeq and is a predicted model, not a curated record.
CGUUUUGCCGACGUUUUGCGUUGGGGCCAACUUCACACAGGUUCAACCAAGCCUGCGGGAAGAAGAGAGAAGAAGAAGUCACUAGGCCAAAGACCCACAGCCUCAAGAGCACACACCACACGUGCACAGAUGUACACAAACCAACACAUUUAAUAAAGGGUGUAGUGAAUACUGCAAAUAACUCUACACUCUCAAUACCCAUGCAGUGCUGGAACCUCACGCCACAUGGAGGAAAGACCCAGAUGACCCCAGAAGAAAGCAGGCUGGCUCCUAGAAGAUAGAAAGAUGGAUUAAAAACUCCCCUUUUAUGUACACAUAUAGACCCUUAGCAGUUGGUACAAACAGGGCUCACUUAAAAUCAGUAAUUCAAAAGAAAAUAAUUUCAAAAACAAUCAAUAUAUAACAAUCAGCUUAAAACUUAUGUGAAACAAAUAAAUAAAUCAUAAGCAAAACAGCAGGGCCUAGACAAAGGUCCAUAUGCAUAGAACUCCACAAAGAAAGAUCUGUCAAACAGAAAAACAAAAAUAAAAGCACUUUUAUCAAUCUUUAACAAACUAAAUAAAACAACAAUAUAAAAUCAACACAAAUAAAACACCUGUCACGGCGCAAAUCUGACAGUGUCGUGACCACUCAAAACACAAUCCUCUAAAUCACUCAAUAAUUACACAUAAAUAUUAUAACUAUAACACACCUAACCAUCUAAUGCAGCUGGUUGCGAACACGGCGUCUAUCGCCACCCAUGCGCUCAGUCUGACAUCGGGAGGGGUUCUCUCUACAAUAUAAAAUACACCAUAUUAAAAAAAAGCAAAACAUCCUUAUACAAGCUCUUACAACACCUAAAAUACCACGCUAUACCUCGCUAUGGCGCUUCAGGGUCACAACACCGGAAGAAGACGGAAAAGAAUCAAACGUCAGGAAGUUACGCCGCCUGCCGACCUUUGCGCCAUUUAUAGGGCAAAAUAAACACAUAUGCCCCACCCCGUACACCAUCCUAAUUAUCCACUCGGUUACAUAUAUCAAUUGAUAUUAAAUGUGAAAUAGAAACACUGUAUCCGCAGACCCGUUAUUUGGCAGCCACUAAAUAAAUGGGAAGUGGCAUGAAAUUCUCGUUCCAGUUUCCCAUCCCUUUGACCUGAAGUUGGACCCAAAAGGCUAUAAAUGACCCCUGCUCCGACAAUCUUUGUCAUUCAUUUACAUCUUUCUGUACCUGUGUUCAUCUGCACCCACACAUCACCUCACACCCUCACCCAUUCAUUUGCACCACGGUUCUUGACACGUUCCGCACUUUUGUUUUGCUGUCUUUUGUCCGAUUUUGUGAUUUCUGCGAAAAUGGGAUUAGCUGAUUGCCCGCUUUGCCUCCGUGAAUACAGUCAACUCAGUCAGCACCUGACGGUCAUGCACGGAGUAAAGAAUAAAGAAGAAAGGAAGUUGCUUCUCGCCAUUCCAUCCGGGAGGGUGGACGUCCGCAAGGGCACCUGCCCUGUGCCCGCCUGCGGCAUGUCCACCUCCCGGCUGGACCGCCACCUGAGGGGGCACACGGAGCUGAUGGCUGCAGCUCAGCGGCAGGCCAUGGAGUCUCUGAAGCGCAAAAAAACUUUGAGUGACCUCGCCAAGCUGCGGGCCAGCAACCCGGCCGUGGCCAUGGCCUCCAUGCUCGACCUGCAUGAGUCCGAAGAUAUGGAUGACCCCACCUUCGUUUUGGAGGAGGAGGAGGAGGAGCAGCCCUGCGACAACCCCAGCUGCCAAAGGGCUCGGGACGAGGGGGAGGACCUCCGAAAGCAGGUCGAUACGCUGAGCGAGGCGCUGGCACAGGUGACUCGCUGCUGUCUCCUGAUGAAGAGGAGGUCGCAGGGUGCCCCCUCCAGCUACGAGUUAUGUUGUCAACAGUAACCCCACACUCUAAACCCGGAUUUUGUGUUAAUGAAACAAAGUGGUCAUUACUUAUUCUUUGUUGUUUUUGAAAAAGCAUUGUCAUUAAUAAAUCAAAUUAGUUGUUUGCACUAAUCAGAUUGGAAGCACUGAUCAUGUUAGCUGUGAUAACUCGGAAUGUCACGCUUUUGUGAGGGAGGGAGGGGCCUGUUGAAGCAGGUGACUGACGGUGAGCAGAGCGCGCAGUUUGAGGAGUCUGCUCGCUAAACAUGGAUUUAUGAAAGAAACUUUAUACGGCGAGUGUAUAAAUCUGAUCUUUCUGACAAAAGUGAUUACCCCAAAACCGGGCCGAUGUUAGUUGAAAGCUAAAACUGUAGUGUUAAUGUGCCGGUCGAAGUUGUUGUUUGUUUUCCUUCUGUCGGUUCACAGAUUAGCUAAAGUUAACAUUUAAAUUUGCUGUUCCUGUCAGGUCACAGUUUAUAACGUUAGCCAGUGUGUUUCUGUAUGUUCACAGUUUAGCUAUAACGUUUGCAUUUUGCAUUCGUUGUUUUCUUUCUGUCUGUUCAUAUCAGCAUGUGUGAAUGUAUGUACACGCUAGUGGCUAACUUUAGCAUGUCUCUUUGGUGUAUUAUUAUGGUUACAGUUCAAAAAUUUGCUUUUUUUUAAGGUCCAUAAGCCUGUCCUGCUCUUUUUACAGAAGAUCAGGUGUUUAUGAAGUUCAACAGGAUUGUGGGAACCUCAAGCAGGAAUUCUAUGAAAGCAUUGAUCGACAGUCUUCAUCUAAUUGAUAUCUUUCGAUCUAAGAGAGGGAAUGUUGGACAGCUGUUGACACCGCUUUCACAACAAACCAGGACUCGAGAGCCAACUGAUAUUACGUCACUGGUGCUCAGAGGGCUCCCGAUUGUCCUUGGUGACAACCCCACGAACUUCUUCAAAGCAUGCUUUGACUCCGAUGGUGAUCACUCAUUUCGCCACCUUGACUUUGGGAUCCCCCUUGUUGAGCAUGAAGGUGCUGUGCUCCCAUCUUCCCUUCAUCUCAAUCCAGCUUCAAUUAAGAUCAUCAUUGAGGGAGAAGUUGUGAUGGAAGGAUGUGAAAUGUCCUCAGACUGGUGUGAGCACUGAGAGCCACAGCAGAUCCUGGGAAUGGUGUAGAGCCAUGGAUGAGACCCUCCAUCACUCCUCCUGCCCUUACUGCCUCAUCUGGACCGGAUGUUGCUGUGAUUUCUUCAUCCUCAGUGAGCCCAGAGCCAGCGAGAGCAUCUAGAAAAAGACCAAAGGACAUCGAGGAUGUGAUUUUGGUCCAGUUUGUUCUGCUGGUUUCUGUUCAUACAAUGAAGGUUCAAAAGCAUCAUCAAAUAAUGUCAUGAAGCUUCUGGAAGUCAGGCUCCACUGACUGAUACUGUGUGAACAGAAACCAGCAGGACAAACUGGACCAAAAUCACCUUCUGUGUUCAGAAAAAAAAAACAUUGAACAGCGUGAAGGCGAGUAAAUAAUGACUGAAUUUAUAUGUUUGGGUGAACUAACCCUUUAUGCCCCCAAAUAGAAACUGUAUGAAAUGUACGUAUGCAUUUAUAUUAUAGUAGUGCCUUGAAAAAGUGAACUUUAAGAAAUAAGCAGCUUUAUUGAGUGUUUGUGCCCCAGACACUAACAAAAAAGGAUUUACAAAAAUCACA